RNAcentral lists this ribosomal RNA (515 nucleotides) under uncultured bacterium. RNAcentral describes it as "bacterial SSU rRNA". It matches the Rfam family "Bacterial small subunit ribosomal RNA", at positions 28 to 519 of the family's 1533-position model. The record is from RNAcentral.
GACGAACGCUGGCGGCGUGCUUAACACAUGCAAGUCGAGCGAGAAAGCCCCUUCGGGGGUGAGUACAGCGGCGAACGGGUGAGUAACACGUGGGCAACCUGCCCCGGAGACUGGGAUAACGUCCCGAAAGGGACGCUAAUACCGGAUGAUGCGUGACCUGCCAAGUGGGUCACGUCAAAUGGUAGCCUCGGCCUCUGCUCCGGGAUGGGCCCGCGCCGGAUUAGCUUGUUGGUGAGGUAACGGCUCACCAAGGCGACGAUCCGUAGCUGGUCUGAGAGGACGAUCAGCCACACUGGGACUGAGACACGGCCCAGACUCCUACGGGAGGCGGCAGUGGGGAAUCUUGCGCAAUGGGCGAAAGCCUGACGCAGCAACGCCGCGUGAGCGAAGACGGCCUCGGUUGUAAGACGUCUGUCAGGAGGGACGGAAGCCGACUCGGGUGGAACAGCCCACGAGGGUGACGGUACCGUCCACCACGGAAGCCCCGGCCGUAACCUACGUGCCAGCAGCCGACC